GCUGCGAGUGGUCUCGAGACGGAGACCGCCUUAUCCAAGUCCCCACAGAGGGGCACUUUCGGUAUUCUUCGACGCAAUCCGCCGCUCUUCGCCCGACCGCUUCCGCUCCCACCGAAACCCUGUGCUCUGGAGCGAGCGAGGAUGGCAGCAAAGGCCUUCGUCGUCUGCCCCAAUCCCAGACCGGAAGUCUUCUCUCGCGCCAGAAAACCGGGGAUUUCCCAUUAUACCCCUGCCCUUUCCUUUAAUACCCUGUUCUUCCCCUCCCGCCUCCGGGUCUCCGACUCCGAGACGAGCCUCCGCUUCCGGCGGUGCUCGGUGGUGCAGGAUAUCGCGGCGGUGGAGGACGAGAAAAAGGGGGACGAGAAGGAGGAAGGCCGCCAGGAGAACCGGCAGAAGCUCUACGUGGUGAACUUACCCUGGAACUUCUUGGCUCCCGAUAUAAGGAAGCUCUUCGGCGAGUGCGGCACCGUCGAAAGUGUGGAGAUCAUUAAGCAGAAGAAUGGGAAGAGCAGAGGCUUCGCCUUCGUCAUGAUGGCUUCGGAGGAGGAGGCACUGGCCGCCAUCGACAAACUUGAUUCUUAUGAAUUGAUGGGAAGGAUUAUUAGGGUUGAAUUUGCAAAGAGCUUGAGGAAGCCACCAUCACCUCCUUCUCCACCUGGUGCCACUGCUGCAGAUACGCGGCAGAAAAUCUAUGUAUCGAAUCUUUCUUGGAAAGCGAGGUCUGCUAAUCUCAAAGAAUUCUUCUCUGCAAAGUUCAAACCGCUAUCUGCCAGGGUGGUUUUUGAAGACCCAUCAGGAAGAUCUGCUGGAUAUGGCUUUGUUGCUUUUGCCACAAAAGAGGAAGCAGAUGCUGCUAUUUCUGAACUAGAUGGGAAGGAGUUAAUGGGCAGACCUGUUCGUUUGAGACUACGUCGGAAAAAAGGUGAUGAAUCUGGAAGUGAGCCGGAAGAGUCAGACAAUACUGAAGGGCAAUCCAACAACUCUUAGAGGAAGUGUAGAAUCACCACUUUUAUUUGCUCAUUUCCGCCAACUGGAUCAAUUGCAAACAUUAAUGGACUUGUCAUGUACGUCAUUCAUGUUGACAGAAAAAAAACAUUUCCUUUUGUAAUGUCGGGUGAUCACCUCAAAGUACAUAAAAUGGCGUGCAAAAAAUUUGUAGCUGCUGAACUCCUGCAAAGAAUUGCUAGCUGCUCAAUGAAUUGGUUUUAAGCAAAGGUGCUGUUAAAGGAUACUGUUUCAGUUCCAUUAUGAUAAUUGAGCAUCACAAUUGUAAGUACAAUCUGGAACUUGUUUAUUUCAGGUAUAGAAAUAAUUGCUUUUCAGAUUUA
Phoenix dactylifera (date palm) is the source of this 1328-nucleotide RNA transcript. It is a transcript of the gene named 29 kDa ribonucleoprotein A, chloroplastic, with no coding region annotated. NCBI's taxonomy places the organism in Eukaryota, Viridiplantae, Streptophyta, Magnoliopsida, Arecales, Arecaceae. The record is from RefSeq and is a predicted model, not a curated record.